GACGAACGCUGGCGGCGUGCUUAACACAUGCAAGUCGAACGGAAAGGCCCUGCUUUUGUGGGGUGCUCGAGUGGCGAAAGGGUGAGUAACACGUGAGUAACCUGCCCUUUACUUUGGGAUAACUUCAGUAAACUGGGGCUAAUACCCGAUAUGAGCUCCUUCUGCAUGGUUGGGGUUGGAAAGUUUCGGCGUUUGGGGAUGGACUCGCGGCUUAUCAGCUUGUUGGUGGGGUAGUGGCUUACCAAGGCUUUGACGGGUAGCCGGCCUGAGAGGGUGACCGGCCACAUUGGGACUGAGAUACGGCCCAGACGGAUACGGGAGGAAGCAGUGGGGAAUAUUGCAAAAUGGGCGGAAGCCGGAUGCAGCAACGCCGCGUGCGAGAUGACGGCCUUCGGGUUGUAAACCGCUUUCGCCUGUGACGAAGCGUGAGUGACGGUAAUGGGUAAAGAAGCACCGGCUAACUACGUG
RNAcentral lists this ribosomal RNA (468 nucleotides) under uncultured bacterium. RNAcentral's name for it is "partial 16S ribosomal RNA". It matches the Rfam family "Bacterial small subunit ribosomal RNA", at positions 28 to 507 of the family's 1533-position model. The record is from RNAcentral.